RNAcentral lists this ribosomal RNA (465 nucleotides) under uncultured bacterium. RNAcentral's name for it is "partial 16S ribosomal RNA". It matches the Rfam family "Bacterial small subunit ribosomal RNA", at positions 339 to 795 of the family's 1533-position model. The record is from RNAcentral.
CUACGGGGCGCAGCAGUGAGGAAUUUUGCGCAAUGGGGGAAACCCUGACGCAGCAACGCCGCGUGAGUGAUGAAGGCCUUCGGGUCGUAAAACUCUGUCAAGUGGGAAGAACCUAUGUAAGGUUAAUACCCUUAUGUACUGACGGUACCACUGAAGGAAGCACCGGCUAACUCCGUGCCAGCAGCCGCGGUAAUACGGAGGGUGCAAGCGUUAUUCGGAAUUAUUGGGCGUAAAGGGCGCGCAGGCGGUUUUGUAAGUCAGAUGUGAAAGCCCGGGGCUUAACCUCGGAAGUGCAUUUGAUACUGCAAGAAUUGAGUAUGGGAGGGGGAAGUGGAAUUCCUGGUGUAGAGGUGAAAUUCGUAGAUAUUAGGAGGAACACCAGUGGCGAAGGCGACUUCCUGGACCAAUACUGACGCUGAGGCGCGAAGGCGUGGGGAGCAAACAGGAUUAGAUACCCCGGUAGUC